This 913-nucleotide long non-coding RNA is filed under the name Homo sapiens (human). RNAcentral describes it as "HSALNT0393846". The record is from RNAcentral. Lineage: Eukaryota; Metazoa; Chordata; Mammalia; Primates; Hominidae.
CAGGCACCCCUAGUGUUGUCACAAAGACCCAGAACCGUGGCCUGCCUCAGUGCCACCCACAUGGGAGCUGUGGUUACCAGUCUGCAGGCAGCUCCGGGAGAGGCUGACAGAGUGGGCCCCCAUGUGGAAGAAAGAAGCUCCAAAAUGAAUCACAACUGGCGGGUCUGACUUCGGGCCUUUGCAGAUGCUGUUCCCCUGCCUGGAGCGCACUUAUCACAAGGUCCAGUCCUCUUCUUCUAGGUCUCAGUUUGAGUAUUGCCUCCUCACCCAUGCCCCUUCUUAUCCCUCCCUUACUCUGUCUCAGGCCCCCAUCCCUGUGGCCGGAAUGUCAAAGGACAAUGACUACUUUGUGGGUUUCCGUAUAGCUCUCCUUUCCCACCCAUUCCCUGGGAUGCUCACUGGGGAAAGAGACCAGGCCUCUCUGCUGAAGCAGCAGUGCCUGGAGCACAGGAGGCCCUCCAUUUAGUGAUGAGGUGAAUAAAGAAUGAAUGACUGCCUGUCCUGUGCCAUCCCAGGGCACACCUCCUUGGUAUGUCACAUAUUUUUUCUUCCAUCUGGAUGCGCCCUCCUCGGUCUGGCUCUUCCUAUUUCUUCACGCUGCAAAAUUCGACCCUGGACACUUUGGGGGCGUCUGUUCCUGAAGAUGCCUCAGCAGCCCCCACACACCUGGGAUGAGUAUCAGCCCAUGCAGAAGAGUCCCCAUGGAAAGGAACUGAGGCCCCAGCUGACAGCCAACAUCGACCACCAGACACGUGAAUGAAUGAGUCCUCGGAUAAUUCCAGCUCCCAGCCUUUGAAUUUUCCAGCUGAGGCCCAGACAUCCUGGAGCAGAGACAGGCCUUCCAUGCUGUGCCCUGUGAAUUCCUGACCCAUGGAAUCCAUGAGCAAAAUAAAUGGUUGUUUUACACCACUCA